This 23-nucleotide non-coding RNA is filed under the name Arabidopsis thaliana (thale cress). The record is from RNAcentral. Lineage: Eukaryota; Viridiplantae; Streptophyta; Magnoliopsida; Brassicales; Brassicaceae.
AUAAUUAAAAGCCAAUGGCAGCC